UAAAUUUCCUCUCCUCUCUCCUCUCUCCUCUCUCCCCCGAUGGCGUCCAAAGUCCUCAUGGUGGCGGAAAAACCUAGCAUCGCCCUCUCCAUUGCAUCUGCGCUCUCUCGAGGCCGGAUGUCAACACGAAGAGCUAAUACUGAUGUCCACGAGUUUGACGGAAUGUUUCAGGGAAUCAAUGUACGCUAUAAAGUUACAUCUGUUAUCGGUCAUGUAUUCAGUUUAGACUUUCGCGCCGCUACCAGAACUGGGAAGUAAUUGAUCCUAUGGAUCUUUUCCGCGCACCAGUAUUCAAAUCCGAAUCAAACCCAAAGGCUCAUAUUCGUCGUCAUUUGUCUCAAGAAGCGCGAGGUUGUGCCUCUCUUGUACUGUGGUUAGACUGUGAUAGAGAAGGUGAAAAUAUCUGUUAUGAAGGCUAAUAUGACAAACUUC
This is a long non-coding RNA of Asparagus officinalis (garden asparagus), 432 nucleotides long. RefSeq lists it as uncharacterized. The transcript has 6 exons. The record is from RefSeq and is a predicted model, not a curated record. NCBI's taxonomy places the organism in Eukaryota, Viridiplantae, Streptophyta, Magnoliopsida, Asparagales, Asparagaceae.